CUCCUUUGACGUUAGCGGCGGACGGGUGAGUAACACGUGGGUAACCUACCUAUAAGACUGGGAUAACUUCGGGAAACCGGAGCUAAUACCGGAUAAUAUUUCGAACCGCAUGGUUCGAUAGUGAAAGGUGGUUUUGCUAUCACUUAUAGAUGGACCCGCGCCGUAUUAGCUAGUUGGUAAGGUAACGGCUUACCAAGGCGACGAUACGUAGCCGACCUGAGAGGGUGAUCGGCCACACUGGAACUGAGACACGGUCCAGACUCCUCGGGAGGCAGCAGNG
This 280-nucleotide ribosomal RNA is filed under the name uncultured Staphylococcus sp. RNAcentral's name for it is "partial 16S ribosomal RNA". It matches the Rfam family "Bacterial small subunit ribosomal RNA", at positions 81 to 356 of the family's 1533-position model. The record is from RNAcentral. Lineage: Bacteria; Bacillati; Bacillota; Bacilli; Caryophanales; Staphylococcaceae.